This is a long non-coding RNA of Oxyura jamaicensis (ruddy duck), 279 nucleotides long. RefSeq lists it as uncharacterized. The transcript is spliced from 3 exons. Lineage: Eukaryota; Metazoa; Chordata; Aves; Anseriformes; Anatidae. The record is from RefSeq and is a predicted model, not a curated record.
AAAAAAAAAAAAAAGGCUAUAACGCAGCUCUCUAAGGCAGUGCACCAAAAAGUGAUGUGUGAUGUGAAGCAAGGUGAGAGGAAAAUCAUGUUUGCUUCACCACAGACACUAGAGAACCGCAAUUUGCCGACUUUCUUCUUUGUGACUAACAAUCACCGAGAAGAGCUUCACAGCAGUGCGGCCUGUUACCGGAGCCAGAAAAUACUUGUUUUGCCUACAAGGGCAGUCUGUGCAUUUUAAGAUGAAGAUAUUGAAAAGCACCAGUGCCAAGACGGGCCC